AUUUAAAGAAGGAACGACAAAACAUACCAUUUGUUUUUACAAAGAACUCAAGAGCUAAACCCAGAGAUUUUACGUCUUCAAAUAUUGUUCAUUGAAGAUUUUAACUCUGAGCAGAAUUGGAUAAAAGCAUGUCCUCUAAGGGAAGAGCUUAUCUGAAGGACGACAUUAAUUACAGUGUAAAUGAUGAAUACGAUUCUCGAGAAGGUAAUGACAUCGAACCUAGUUAUGGUGUG
Long non-coding RNA from Saccostrea cuccullata (small rock oyster), 233 nucleotides. RefSeq lists it as uncharacterized. NCBI's taxonomy places the organism in Eukaryota, Metazoa, Mollusca, Bivalvia, Ostreida, Ostreidae. The record is from RefSeq and is a predicted model, not a curated record. The transcript has 3 exons.